GAUGAACGCUGGCGGCGUGCCUAAUACAUGCAAGUCGAGCGAACAGAUAAGGAGCUUGCUCCUUUGACGUUAGCGGCGGACGGGUGAGUAACACGUGGAUAACCUACCUAUAAGACUGGGAUAACUUCGGGAAACCGGAGCUAAUACCGGAUAACAUAUUGAACCGCAUGGUUCGAUAGUGAAAGGCUGCUUUGCUGUCACUUAUAGAUGGAUCCGCGCCGUAUUAGCUAGUUGGUAAGGUAACGGCUUACCAAGGCAACGAUACGUAGCCGACCUGAGAGGGUGAUCGGCCACACUGGAACUGAGACACGGUCCAGACUCCUACGGGAGGCAGCAGUAGGGAAUCUUCCGCAAUGGGCGAAAGCCUGACGGAGCAACGCCGCGUGAGUGAUGAAGGUCUUCGGAUCGUAAAACUCUGUUAUCAGGGAAGAACAAAUGUGUAAGUAACUGUGCACAUCUUGACGGUACCUGAUCAGAAAGCCACGGCUAACUACGUG
RNAcentral lists this ribosomal RNA (497 nucleotides) under uncultured bacterium. RNAcentral describes it as "partial 16S ribosomal RNA". It matches the Rfam family "Bacterial small subunit ribosomal RNA", at positions 28 to 507 of the family's 1533-position model. The record is from RNAcentral.